This 253-nucleotide ribosomal RNA is filed under the name uncultured bacterium. RNAcentral describes it as "partial 16S ribosomal RNA". It matches the Rfam family "Bacterial small subunit ribosomal RNA", at positions 524 to 776 of the family's 1533-position model. The record is from RNAcentral.
GACAGAGGGUGCAAACGUUGCUCGGAAUUACUGGGCGUAAAGCGCGUGUAGGCGGGUUGGUAAGUCAGACGUGAAAUCCCCGAGCUCAACUCGGGAACUGCAUUUGAAACUGCCAGCCUAGAGUGAUGGAGAGGGUAGCGGAAUUCCUGGUGUAGAAGUGAAAUUCGUAGAUAUCAGGAGGAACACCGGUGGCGAAGGCGACUACCUGGACAUUAACUGACGCUGAGACGCGAAAGCGUGGGGAGCAAACAGG